This 2044-nucleotide unclassified non-coding RNA is filed under the name Hevea brasiliensis (rubber tree). Lineage: Eukaryota; Viridiplantae; Streptophyta; Magnoliopsida; Malpighiales; Euphorbiaceae. The record is from RNAcentral.
CAAGAUCUUGUAUCUCUUCAUUGAACUUUAUGAUCAAGUUAUUUACAUCUGCUAGCUAUAUGUAUAUUCUUUUACCAAAUACAUCACAUUCUAGUUUCGUAGACGUACUUCAUAGUUCAUUCUUACACUUCACUCCUAAGCUUUGAAAAGCUUAUUAUACUAAGUAAUUACACUUGUAAAAUUUAUCUGCAUUAUCACCAAAUAGAAUAAAUACUAUUAAGUAUAUAGUAGAUAUCAUCUCCACAGGAAUCAUAGUAAUUUCUUUUUAUUAGUUUUAGCUCAAGUAUGCCAAAAUUUAUCCCUAUGUCCACGUUGCACCCUUCACCCACUCUCCAAACAAAGAUCCAUUGUUAUCCUAUAAUGACCUCAAUCCAAAGCUCAAGACACUAGUAACCCUAGUUAGUGGAGAAAGUCGUGCAAGAUUGAGGAAGUUGAGGGGAACCAGGCAAUCCGGUUAGCCCCCCGUUAGGAGCACUGAUGUUGCUGCUGCUUCCAUCAUUGCUCUUCUGUGUACCAAUAACUGAGGAGAUGGCUGCCGCCAAGGCUGCAGUGAAAUUUGGGUCAGAAGCAAUGGCAGCGGUCACCGUCUCAACCAUUGAAGCGUGCCGUUGCCCUAAUUGCACCGAUGGAAUUGCAGCUGCCGGGAGCUUAGAAGGGACAUACAUAGGGUGGCCUAGCAGUUGUGGUUGUGGACAGCCAUGCAAAGGAAGAGGAAAUGUGGUUGAUAGAGGGGAGCGAAAAACAGGUAUGGGAUUGGGACUCUGCGUCAAGUCGAGGGUUAUGGUGGGAAAUGGUGCAGACGCAGAUAGGGUAGCCAUUGUGGACGCAUAGGGUAAAGAAGGGAAAAAGCUAUUAUUCGACGGUAGGCCUUCUUUGGAUGUAAUGGAGCCUGAAAGAAGCAUCGCUGCUGCAGCAGAUGUAGUAUUAGCCAUAGCCGUGGCUGCUGGUGGAAGAGGGUGGUUGUGAUUUCCUUCAUAUGUUGUAGUUAGAAUGGUCUUGUCCUCUGCGCAUCUUUGCACCUGCUUACGAACUGGGCAUCCAACAGCCAUGGUGCAACGAUAGUAUGCACGCGGACAAGGAUUGCCCUUGGCCAUCUUUUGACCAUAUUUCCUCCACUGGCAUCCAUCAGUGAUAAGGGGAGCCUCAGAUCUUGCUCGCACAGACACUCUAGCCUUCCUGAAAGGGACUUCAGGGACUUGCUCCUCGUUCUUUCCUGGUUCCAACCUCGGACUCUUGGGAGAUCCCCAACUCUGAGAAGUCUGAUCAAGACCAUCGUCUGUCGAAGCUUGUUUCCCAGGAUUUAUUUGAGACAAAGCCUCAGUCGUAUUUGUUGGAGAUACUGACACGUCCUGUGCCUUAUCAUCAGAUACCGAAGGAUCGUUGACAUCUAAUGCGGCAAAUGGGCGUGGGUCCAUAAACUGUUGGGCUGACAUUAUGGGACUUGCGAUGCCAUUCAGCUUUCCCUUCUGCUCUCCCCGAUUCCCUUUUGCCUGUUUUUGCAUUGCCAUGAGUAGCUGAGCUUGCAGCUCUUUGUAGCUUUUACUAAUCUGAUCCAAGAUGCUUCUUAGAUUCUUGUUCUCAUCGUGCAGUCUGUCCAACUCGGCUUGCAGUUUCUUCAGUUCGUUAUUGGGUAAUUUAUUUCCGUUUUCUUUUUCUGAGACUCCAGAGCUCGAAGUCAGGAGAUUCAGUCCAGUGUUUACCACGGAAUCAACAAUAGCUGAUGAUGAUUCACCCUUCAUCUCUUGAUCAAGCGGCAAAUUAUCAGUCCUAUCAUUUGAGAAGAAAUCCACUUCUUUGAUGGUGGACUUGCCCCGAUCGAUGGAAUUGUCUGUUAAGUGAUCAGAUAAAGCUGCAGGGUUCUGCCGGAGAAAAUCUCCGGAGCGGAAGAAUGUCAAUUCCCGGCCUUGUUGGUCCAUGAGUAGAAGGAGAGGAGGAAGUGGUUGUAGAUUUUUUUCAACGGAGGUAUUUAGAAGAGUUGCUUGUGAUGGGGGUCCAAAAAUAAUAACAAAGGACCAGAGAGAAGAGUAGCCGUUAUUUUCGCGGG